GCGGGUGUAGCUCAAUGGUAGAGUUCUGGCCUUCCAAGCCAGCUGUGAGGGUUCGAUCCCCUUCACCCGCUCCA
This 74-nucleotide transfer RNA is filed under the name Acinetobacter baumannii. Its description in RNAcentral is "tRNA-Gly". It matches the Rfam family "tRNA". Rfam says of the family: Transfer RNA (tRNA) molecules are approximately 80 nucleotides in length. Lineage: Bacteria; Pseudomonadati; Pseudomonadota; Gammaproteobacteria; Moraxellales; Moraxellaceae. RNAcentral also lists the same sequence under 258 other names. The record is from RNAcentral.